Molecule: long non-coding RNA, 2752 nt
Organism: Pseudopipra pipra
Lineage: Eukaryota; Metazoa; Chordata; Aves; Passeriformes; Pipridae
Exons: 6
Source: RefSeq, a predicted model, not a curated record
AGGUGGAGUGGCUUUUUGCUUCAUGAUGAUGUAGGGAGAUUGAGAACCAUCAGAACACCCUUCCUGGUGAGACAGCUGUAGGUGGAAAAAAUGGAAAAAGAGGUCUGAAGCUCUCAGCAUCUACCAAUGAACAAGUAACUGGAUCUGGCCUGGAAGGAAAUGAGAUACAAAUAAAGGUGCCAGCUGGAUGUUUAAUUUAAUGCAACAGAAAUUUGGGGAAGAAGACACUUCAAAUCACUCUUUCCAAAAUGGGGACUUCUGAUUCUUUAGCUAAUGGCCAGGUGAGUGUGACACUUCCCAUCACUGUGUAAGAACAGUACAAAGCCUCCACUUUCUUUUUAAAAGGGUGUUUAAAAAUGCUUGGUAACUGUCUCUGUCAUUACCCAAAAUGUCCAGGUUCACAUGAAAAUCACUCUCAAUAUUCAUGUGUAUUCAGACCUAAGGUUGCAGGUCACGCACCACUGAAAAGAGGGAAGUUCCUACAUAUGCAGAAGAUUCCUCCUUGUUUUGAGAAGGGCCACACAGAAAAAGUGCAGCAUUUUUCCUGCAAGAAACUGCAAGAAUAGUGUGCCUCUCUCUGACAAUGAUUGGAUAUGUCUAUUAUCCACUAGUUUUGAUUUUGACUUGUUUUGAUUGCUGACAGUCCUGCUAUGCAUCUUGCCUUUUCAACAAUCUGCACAGAUCCCAGCUUCAUUCAGAAGUCCAAAGGGCACAAUCCCAUACCUCUCUUGUACUGAGGAGCAUGAUUUUUAACCUGAAAUGUAAUUUUUUUCCUUACAUUAAACAAAUAAAGAAACUAUUGAGGUUGAUCUGGUUGGAAAAGAAGCAACUUUUAGCCUAUGAAGAUAAAGUAAAUGUCUUUCAAAACUCUAAGUGGAACACUAGUUGGACAAUGUAGUUUCAUGUUGAUAAAAUAUUUAUAUUACUAAUGAUGCUUCUUGAUGCCAAAAUUUUCUCUUCCUGUGACUUGAAGCAAACAAAAGAACAAAGAUUGUUUCAGAUUUUUCAGUUACAGUUUUUCAUUCUUCAGAUGAAACCCAGGAAACUCAGUUAACCUUCCCAAACACAAAAGAAAGUCACCGCUGUUCCCCUUGUUAUGCAAUUACCUUUAGAAAUGCAUCAAACUUUUCAAAAUUAUCCCCAUUAAAUUUUUGUCAGUGCUAAUGAUGAAUGAAGUGUGUCAUACAAAAGUGAAAAUGUGUCCCAAAAGAGUACUUUAAUAGUGGAUUCACACAUCUCCCUCCCCCAAAUAUCAGCAGGCUUUUACUGCCUUUCCUUUCUUAUUCUUUCCCUUCUCUCUACUUUCUUUUCUUUUGAUGGAAAAAAAAAGAAGAAAAAAAAAGAAAAAGAAAAAAUGAAAAAAAAGAAAAAAAUAAGAAAAAAAGAAAAAGAAAAGAAAGGAAAAAAAGGGAAAAAAAGCGCCCUUUACCUUUCUGGGCUUACCUCUGAGGGAGUGGUAAAGCAGGAUUAGACUCUAUAGAUUACACACAUUUGAAAUUACAGGAUUUAGUAGUCAUAUUUUUGGUUCAUGGAAGUAAAGGUUUCUAAAUUUUACAAAAUAGCCAUACUGUGACACUCUGUGACUCGAAAUUUCCGUAGCAUAUAUACUUUUAAAGUAGAGACAUCUAAGACAUUCCUUUUACGCUAUUUUGCCCUCCCAUAGCUACAGAAAACAAUUGCUACAAACUUUUAAUUAAUUUCUAUCAUACAUGUCCUGAUAACAUCCACUCAUGGGCCAUUUUUAAUUUUGAAAUAAAAGAAACUAAAUAAAAUAAUUUCCUAAUAGCUGUAAAAGACUCCUGCUAGAAUACAUAAUCUAAUGAACUACUGGCAGCACUGAAAAUUUUACAAAUUGUGAGCAGGUUUUUCUUCCCAAUACAAGCCAGUCACUAAGCUGUAAAAAAUAGUAAAUACAUAAAUCAUAUGCAUAUUUGACACGACACAGAUUUCAAUAGUUUGGGGAGGACAACUGAUGCUGUAUGAAGGAGCACUUCUGAAAAACAGUGACUAGGACAUGUGCUUGUAAUUUGGAUUUUCUAGUGAAGUGUGUCUUUAUAUCCCUUUAAAUCCUCCUAAAAAUUAAGUAUAUUGUUCAUAAUUUUACCUGCAUUACUUUCAAUCUCCAGAUGGAUUUUAUUUGCAUAAGAGCUCCCAGGAGGGCUUUGCUAUAAAGAAGCCUUGCUGAACACAUUACAGAACUAAUCAUUUCUUUAAACAGACAUUUGUGAAUAAAAUAAAAUGUCUAUGCAAUAUGUCAAAUGUGAAAGGUUAGCCACUGUGCACAAUAACAAAAUAAUUUAAUCUUAAAUAAAUUACUUUGCCUUAAUUAAUUAUGAGGUGAACCGAGCCUCAACUCCUAACAUAGUUAAGGUAGAAUAUUCAUGCUUGUGCAAAAAGCAGAUUGUAAAAAAAUAUGAGUCUGAAAAGCACUUUCCCUUCACUAACUAGUGCAACCCUAAAGUUUCUGCAAGCAGGGGAUGCUCUUAGAGCCAACUCUCAAGGCUGCUUUGUAUCACUACAUGACAGGAAAGUGGCUAUAAAAAAUACAGAAUGGACAAUUAUGUGAUUUAUUUGACCUUUAGAUAUGGUUCCCCAUCAGAAAGGAGAGCCUUCAAAGGUAGUAAGGUGACAUAAUCAACAGGAUUAAAUCUCUAACUACUGGUAAGCAUCUAGAGUGAAAUUCAACAACACCUUUGAGACCCCUUGUUUUUCAACAGUAUCUGUAGCAACCAACAUAGGUAUGAGAUUUACA